GGGGGGGGGGGGGGGGGGGGGGGGGGGGGGGGGGGGGGGGGGGGGGGGGGGGGGGGGGCGGGGGGGACGGGAGCGGGGGGGGGGGGAGUGACGCGUGGGUAACCUGCCUAUACGACUGGGAUAACGUCGGGAAACCGGAGCUAAUACCGGAUAAUAUCGUGACCCGCAUGGUUCAAUAGUGACAGGCGGUUUUGCUGUCCCUUAUAGAUGGAUCCGCGCCGCAUCAGCUAGUUGGUAAGGUAACGGCUUACCAAGGCAACGAUGCGUAGCCGACCUGAGAGGGUGAUCGGCCACACUGGAACUGAGACACGGUCCAGACUCCUACGGGAGGCAGCAGUAGGGAAUCUUCCGCAAUGGGCGAAAGCCUGACGGAGCAACGCCGCGUGAGUGAUGAAGGUCUUCGGAUCGUAAAACUCUGUUAUUAGGGAAGAACAAAUGUGUAAGUAACUAUGCACGUCUUGACGGUACCUAAUCAGAAAGCCACGGCUAACUACGUG
Molecule: ribosomal RNA, 497 nt
Filed under: uncultured bacterium
Lineage: Bacteria
Description: partial 16S ribosomal RNA
Rfam family: Bacterial small subunit ribosomal RNA (bases 57-497)
Source: RNAcentral